UGUAGGGCCUUCAUGAUUUCCUUGAUUACAAUGGAAACAUAUGAUUCGAUUUAACCUUUCAGAGAAGACAUUCCAACUUGCAUGAUCUCAUCAAUGUGGAGAAUAUUGGUGGCCAUCACAGGUCAGGAGUGAAGCAGCUCUUCCUUUACACGGUUGCUCACAAUGUAUCGGGAGGGAGCUUCCCAUGCGCACUGGUAAUGUUUGAGAACUGUUUUUGGAGUCAAGAAAGAAGAAUUUGGGGAUUCAGAGGCCAAGGAGAUGGACAAGGGAAGCAUCUCCAAAAGAUCACCUAUGGACCAAGAGGAGAUCGUAUCUGUUUUAAGGAGCCAUGUCUAAGGAAUCCUUGCACGUAUGGAAGAAUUAUAUCUCUCAACCUCCUCCAUAGAGUGCGUAGCAUGUCUUCCUUUGUCUGGCCCUAUAUUAACCCUCCACCUCCCAUCCCCAUCUCUCACCAUACUUAAAUUCCC
This 467-nucleotide long non-coding RNA is filed under the name Phascolarctos cinereus (koala). RNAcentral's name for it is "lncRNA (ENSPCIG00000029401.2)". Lineage: Eukaryota; Metazoa; Chordata; Mammalia; Diprotodontia; Phascolarctidae. The record is from RNAcentral.